RNAcentral lists this ribosomal RNA (598 nucleotides) under uncultured bacterium. RNAcentral describes it as "bacterial SSU rRNA". It matches the Rfam family "Bacterial small subunit ribosomal RNA", at positions 338 to 945 of the family's 1533-position model. The record is from RNAcentral.
CCUACGGGAGGCAGCAGUGGGGAAUAUUGCACAAUGGGCGCAAGCCUGAUGCAGCGACGCCGCGUGAGGGAUGACGGCCUUCGGGUUGUAAACCUCUUUCAGUAGGGAAGAAGCGAAAGUGACGGUACCUGCAGAAGAAGCGCCGGCUAACUACGUGCCAGCAGCCGCGGUAAUACGUAGGGCGCAAGCGUUAUCCGGAAUUAUUGGGCGUAAAGAGCUCGUAGGCGGUUUGUCGCGUCUGCCGUGAAAGUCCGGGGCUCAACUCCGGAUCUGCGGUGGGUACGGGCAGACUAGAGUGAUGUAGGGGAGACUGGAAUUCCUGGUGUAGCGGUGAAAUGCGCAGAUAUCAGGAGGAACACCGAUGGCGAAGGCAGGUCUCUGGGCAUUAACUGACGCUGAGGAGCGAAAGCAUGGGGAGCGAACAGGAUUAGAUACCCUGGUAGUCCAUGCCGUAAACGUUGGGCACUAGGUGUGGGGGACAUUCCACGUUUUCCGCGCCGUAGCUAACGCAUUAAGUGCCCCGCCUGGGGAGUCGGCCGCAAGGCUAAAACUUAAGAGUAGUGCGNGNGAGNGCGACGACGACGACGACGGAGGAGAG